This 440-nucleotide ribosomal RNA is filed under the name uncultured bacterium. Its description in RNAcentral is "partial 16S ribosomal RNA". It matches the Rfam family "Bacterial small subunit ribosomal RNA", at positions 338 to 795 of the family's 1533-position model. The record is from RNAcentral.
CCUACGGGAGGCAGCAGUGGGGAAUAUUGCACAAUGGGGGAAACCCUGAUGCAGCGACGCCGCGUGAGUGAAGAAGUAUCUCGGUACGUAAAGCUCUAUCAGCAGGGAAGAAAAUGACGGUACCUGACUCAGAAGCCCCUGCUAACUACGUUCCAGCAGCCGCGCUAAUACGUAGGGGGCCAGCGUUAUCCGGAUUUACUGGGUGUAAAGGGAGCGUAGACGGCAGGACAGUUCUGGAGUGAAAUCCCGGGGCUUAACCUCGGAACUGCCUUGGAAACUGUGAGGCUGGAGUGCAGGAGGGGUGAGCGGAAUUCCUGGUGUAGCGGUGAAAUGCGUAGAUAUUAGGAGGAACACCGGUGGCGAAGGCGGCUUACUGGACUGUAACUGACGUUGAGGCUCGAAAGCGUGGGGAGCAAACAGGAUUAGAUACCCUGGUAGUC